GACGAACGCUGGCGGCGUGCUUAACACAUGCAAGUCGAGCGGUAAGGCCCUUUCGGGGGUACACGAGCGGCGAACGGGUGAGUAACACGUGGGUGACCUGCCCUCAGCUCUGGGAUAAGCCUGGGAAACCGGGUCUAAUACCGGAUAUGACUCCAUGACGCAUGUUGUGGGGUGGAAAGCCUUGUGCGGCUGAGGAUGGGCCCGCGGCCUAUCAGCUUGUUGGUGGGGUGAUGGCCUACCAAGGCGACGACGGGUAGCCGGCCUGAGAGGGCGACCGGCCACACUGGGACUGAGACACGGCCCAGACUCCUACGGGAGGCAGCAGUGGGGAAUCUUGCGCAAUGGGCGAAAGCCUGACGCAGCGACGCCGCGUGAGGGACGACGGCCUCGGUUGUAACC
This 399-nucleotide ribosomal RNA is filed under the name uncultured bacterium. Its description in RNAcentral is "bacterial SSU rRNA". It matches the Rfam family "Bacterial small subunit ribosomal RNA", at positions 28 to 430 of the family's 1533-position model. The record is from RNAcentral.